GGAUCCACUUUUUCUCUUUCGUCUUCCUAAAGAUUUUAGUAGAGAGCAGGAGAAGAGAGGAUGUCAGCUGGUCGGAACACCCAUUGGUGUUAUAGAUGCAGAAGGUCAGUACGUCUUCGUGGUAGAGAUGCAGUUUGCCCCAACUGCAAUGGAGGAUUUAUCCAAGAACUUGAUGAUAUGGUGCCCGGAAAUCCAUUUGAUUUCUUUGGUCUGGAUCAUGAUGAAGAUCGCGAUCAUGGUCUGGGAGCAUUCUCUGCUUUUAUGAGACAACGUUUAGCCGAAAGAAAUGACAUGAGGGGAAGAUCAGAGUCACUUUUUGAGCGUACCCCAGGAUUCGGUCCUCUAUUAAUAUUUGGUGGUCAAAUACCAUUGAGAAACAGCAGGUUAGAAGCUCUCUUCAAUGGGGCUCCUGGCAUUGGUAUUACACGGGGCGAUAGUGGCGACUACUUUAUAGGCCCUGGACUGGAGGAGCUAUUCGAACAGCUUUCGGCAAAUGGUCAUCGUGGCCCUCCGCCAGCAUCUAGAUCAUCAAUUGAUGCAAUGCCAACAGUUAAGAUCACGCAACGACAUCUUCGCUCAGAUUCACAUUGUCCAGUUUGUAAAGAAAAAUUUGAACUGGGGUCUGAAGCAAGGCAGAUGCCUUGUAAUCACAUGUACCACUCAGAUUGUAUUGUUCCAUGGCUGGUCCAGCACAACUCUUGCCCCGUCUGCCGCCAGGAACUGCCACCACUGGGAAUAGGAGGCGGGGGCAGUGGACAUACCACCGAUGGUCAAAACCAAAGCAAUGGCUACAACAACGGCAAUGGCUCCCGGGUCAAUCCUGGUAGACGCAAUCCAUUUUCUUAUCUGUGGCCAUUUCGGUCAUCUAGUUCCAGCUCCAACCAUGGUGGAGCAGGGAGCGGU
RNAcentral lists this unclassified non-coding RNA (903 nucleotides) under Hevea brasiliensis (rubber tree). The record is from RNAcentral. Lineage: Eukaryota; Viridiplantae; Streptophyta; Magnoliopsida; Malpighiales; Euphorbiaceae.